AACUUCUAAUGGUGGAUCGCUCGGCUCGUGGGUCGAUGAAGACCGCAGCAAAAUGCGUGUCAGCAUGUGAAUCGCAAGAUUAUGAGAUGCAUCGACCAGUUGAACGCACAUUGCGGCGACGGCACUGCCCAGUGUUGUCGCCACUCCCGGACGAGUGUCU
Ribosomal RNA from Macrobrachium nipponense, 160 nucleotides. RefSeq annotates it as 5.8S ribosomal RNA. The record is from RefSeq and is a predicted model, not a curated record. The transcript has a single exon. NCBI's taxonomy places the organism in Eukaryota, Metazoa, Arthropoda, Malacostraca, Decapoda, Palaemonidae.